This 468-nucleotide ribosomal RNA is filed under the name uncultured bacterium. Its description in RNAcentral is "partial 16S ribosomal RNA". It matches the Rfam family "Bacterial small subunit ribosomal RNA", at positions 28 to 523 of the family's 1533-position model. The record is from RNAcentral.
GAUGAACGCUGGCGGCGUGCCUAACACAUGCAAGUCGAGCGAUUUACUUCGGUAAAGAGCGGCGGACGGGUGAGUAACGCGUGGGUAACCUGCCCUGUACACACGGAUAACAUACCGAAGGGUAUGCUAAUACGGGAUAAUAUGCUUUUAUCGCAUGGUAGAAGUAUCAAAGCUCCGGCGGUACAGGAUGGACCCGAGUCUGAUUAGCUAGUUGGUAAGGUAACGGCUUACCAAGGCGACGAUCAGUAGCCGACCUGAGAGGGUGAUCGGCCACAUUGGAACUGAGACACGGUCCAAACUCCUACGGGAGGCAGCAGUGGGGAAUAUUGCACAAUGGGCGAAAGCCUGAUGCAGCAACGCCGCGUGAGCGAUGAAGGCCUUCGGGUCGUAAAGCUCUGUCCUCAAGGAAGAUAUUGACGGUACUUGAGGAGGAAGCCCCGGCUAACUACGUGCCAGCAGCCGCCGUAA